Molecule: unclassified non-coding RNA, 359 nt
Filed under: Hevea brasiliensis (rubber tree)
Lineage: Eukaryota; Viridiplantae; Streptophyta; Magnoliopsida; Malpighiales; Euphorbiaceae
Source: RNAcentral
GUUCGCAUUGCUUUCAAGUCUCUGCAGGAUACAGCAUUAAUAUGAAAAAAAUGAGUCAACAUAUGAACCAGUUUGAUGUAGUUCAUGAGAAAAUAAACUAUAUCAACAGAUAAAUGGAGAAGAAUUGGCAUGAGUGUGAUAUUCAAAUUUAUAACUGAUAAAAGAACUCUCAUUUAAUCAUUUGUAUCUUUCGCUAUGAAAUAUAAGACAGAGCUUGAUGAACUAUAUAUAUGGCUCAACUGAAUAGCAAUUUUCAGUGUUAAAAAACAGAAAUCAACAGAAGGAAACCUAAACUUGUUCAUUGUUCCUUUAACAUCUCAGAAAUCAAAUGCUUAAUCGAAAAGGAUGAAAAGUAACUG